CAACGGCCGCGGUAUCCUAACCGUGCAAAGGUAGCAUAAUAACUUGCCCAUUAAUUGUGGGCUAGAAUGAAUGGAUUAACGAAAUAUUAUCUGUCUCCAUAAAUACACCUAAAAAUUAAUCUUCAAUUGAAGAAAAUUAGAUAUCAUUGAAGGACAAGAAGACCCUAUAGAGCUUAAAAUUCGGUUGGGGCGACCUGGGAGAUAUAUUUAUCUUUUUUCAGACCCUAGAUCCUAAAAUCAAGCUACCUUAGGGAUAACAGGCUAAUCUCACUAAAGAGUCCUUAUCUAUAGUGAGGUUUGGCACCUCGAUGUUGGCUUAGGGGAUCUAUACGACGCAAAAGUCAUAUAAAGAUGGUUUGUUCAACCAAUAAUA
This 373-nucleotide ribosomal RNA is filed under the name Dendrobaena alpina. RNAcentral's name for it is "partial 16S ribosomal RNA". It matches the Rfam family "Bacterial large subunit ribosomal RNA", at positions 1925 to 2593 of the family's 2925-position model. Lineage: Eukaryota; Metazoa; Annelida; Clitellata; Crassiclitellata; Lumbricidae. The record is from RNAcentral.